Macleaya cordata is the source of this 110-nucleotide microRNA precursor. It matches the Rfam family "mir-399 microRNA precursor family". From Rfam's summary of the family: mir-399 was identified in both Arabidopsis thaliana and Oryza sativa computationally and was later experimentally verified. mir-399 is thought to target mRNAs coding for a phosphatase transporter. The mature sequence is excised from the 3' arm of the hairpin. NCBI's taxonomy places the organism in Eukaryota, Viridiplantae, Streptophyta, Magnoliopsida, Ranunculales, Papaveraceae. The record is from Rfam.
AGAUGAAUAACAGAGUGAUUCUCCUUUGGCAGGGAAACAUUAGUAGUGUUCAUGCCGGUUACGCUGUAUAUGAUAUUCCUGCCAAGGGAGAAUUGCCCUGUUAUUCACCC